UAGGGAAUCUUCCACAAUGGACGCAAGUCUGAUGGAGCAACGCCGCGUGAGUGAAGAAGGUCUUCGGAUCGUAAAGCUCUGUUGUUGGUGAAGAAGGAUAGAGGCAGUAACUGGUCUUUAUUUGACGGUAAUCAACCAGAAAGUCACGGCUAACUACGUGCCAGCAGCCGCGGUAAUACGUAGGUGGCAAGCGUUGUCCGGAUUUAUUGGGCGUAAAGCGAGCGCAGGCGGAAUGAUAAGUCUGAUGUGAAAGCCCACGGCUCAACCGUGGAACUGCAUCGGAAACUGUCAUUCUUGAGUGCAGAAGAGGAGAGUGGAACUCCAUGUGUAGCGGUGGAAUGCGUAGAUAUAUGGAAGAACACCAGUGGCGAAGGCGGCUCUCUGGUCUGCAACUGACGCUGAGGCUCGAAAGCAUGGGUAGCGAACAGGAUUAGAUACCCUGGUAGUCCAUGCCGUAAACGAUGAGCGCUAGGUGUUGGGG
RNAcentral lists this ribosomal RNA (481 nucleotides) under uncultured bacterium. RNAcentral's name for it is "partial 16S ribosomal RNA". It matches the Rfam family "Bacterial small subunit ribosomal RNA", at positions 355 to 828 of the family's 1533-position model. The record is from RNAcentral.